CGCGUAGGCGGCGCGACAAGGCGGCGGUGAAAGUCCGGGGCUCAACCCCGGAUCGGCCGUGGCGACUGUCGCGCUGGAGCACAGUAGAGGCGGGUGGAAUUCCGGGUGUAGCGGUGGAAUGCGUAGAGAUCCGGAAGAACACCGGUGGCGAAGGCGGCCCGCUGGGCUGUGGCUGACGCUGAGGCGCGACAGCGUGGGGAGCAAACAGGAUUAGAUACCCUGGUAGUCCACGCCGUAAACGAUGGGCACUAGGUGCUUGGGGGAGCGACCCCCUGAGUGCCGGCGCUAACGCAUUAAGUGCCCCGCCUGGGGAGUACGGCCGCAAGGCUGAA
This 332-nucleotide ribosomal RNA is filed under the name uncultured Gemmatimonadota bacterium. Its description in RNAcentral is "bacterial SSU rRNA". It matches the Rfam family "Bacterial small subunit ribosomal RNA", at positions 568 to 898 of the family's 1533-position model. The record is from RNAcentral. Lineage: Bacteria; Pseudomonadati; Gemmatimonadota.